GAUGAACGCUAGCGGCAGGCUUAAUACAUGCAAGUCGAACGGUAAGUAUUUUAGCAAUAAGAUACGAGAGUGACGUACGGGUGCGUAACACGUAUGCAACCUACCUUGUACAGGAGGAUAGCUCGGGGAAACUCGAAUUAACCCUCCAUAAGAUCGUGGUGAGGCAUCUCACAGCGAUAAAAUCUUAGGAGGUACAAGAUGGGCAUGCGUCUGAUUAGAGUUGGUGCGGGUAACGCCCACCAAGACGAUGAUCAGUAGGGGACCUGAGA
Molecule: ribosomal RNA, 269 nt
Filed under: uncultured bacterium
Lineage: Bacteria
Description: partial 16S ribosomal RNA
Rfam family: Bacterial small subunit ribosomal RNA
Source: RNAcentral